RNAcentral lists this ribosomal RNA (1427 nucleotides) under Staphylococcus saprophyticus. RNAcentral describes it as "bacterial SSU rRNA". It matches the Rfam family "Bacterial small subunit ribosomal RNA". Lineage: Bacteria; Bacillati; Bacillota; Bacilli; Caryophanales; Staphylococcaceae. The record is from RNAcentral.
CAUGCAAGUCGAGCGAACAGAUAAGGAGCUUGCUCCUUUGACGUUAGCGGCGGACGGGUGAGUAACACGUGGGUAACCUACCUAUAAGACUGGGAUAACUUCGGGAAACCGGAGCUAAUACCGGAUAACAUUUGGAACCGCAUGGUUCUAAAGUGAAAGAUGGUUUUGCUAUCACUUAUAGAUGGACCCGCGCCGUAUUAGCUAGUUGGUAAGGUAACGGCUUACCAAGGCGACGAUACGUAGCCGACCUGAGAGGGUGAUCGGCCACACUGGAACUGAGACACGGUCCAGACUCCUACGGGAGGCAGCAGUAGGGAAUCUUCCGCAAUGGGCGAAAGCCUGACGGAGCAACGCCGCGUGAGUGAUGAAGGGUUUCGGCUCGUAAAACUCUGUUAUUAGGGAAGAACAAAUGUGUAAGUAACUGUGCACGUCUUGACGGUACCUAAUCAGAAAGCCACGGCUAACUACGUGCCAGCAGCCGCGGUAAUACGUAGGUGGCAAGCGUUAUCCGGAAUUAUUGGGCGUAAAGCGCGCGUAGGCGGUUUCUUAAGUCUGAUGUGAAAGCCCACGGCUCAACCGUGGAGGGUCAUUGGAAACUGGGAAACUUGAGUGCAGAAGAGGAAAGUGGAAUUCCAUGUGUAGCGGUGAAAUGCGCAGAGAUAUGGAGGAACACCAGUGGCGAAGGCGACUUUCUGGUCUGUAACUGACGCUGAUGUGCGAAAGCGUGGGGAUCAAACAGGAUUAGAUACCCUGGUAGUCCACGCCGUAAACGAUGAGUGCUAAGUGUUAGGGGGUUUCCGCCCCUUAGUGCUGCAGCUAACGCAUUAAGCACUCCGCCUGGGGAGUACGACCGCAAGGUUGAAACUCAAAGGAAUUGACGGGGACCCGCACAAGCGGUGGAGCAUGUGGUUUAAUUCGAAGCAACGCGAAGAACCUUACCAAAUCUUGACAUCCUUUGAAAACUCUAGAGAUAGAGCCUUCCCCUUCGGGGGACAAAGUGACAGGUGGUGCAUGGUUGUCGUCAGCUCGUGUCGUGAGAUGUUGGGUUAAGUCCCGCAACGAGCGCAACCCUUAAGCUUAGUUGCCAUCAUUAAGUUGGGCACUCUAGGUUGACUGCCGGUGACAAACCGGAGGAAGGUGGGGAUGACGUCAAAUCAUCAUGCCCCUUAUGAUUUGGGCUACACACGUGCUACAAUGGACAAUACAAAGGGCAGCUAAACCGCGAGGUCAUGCAAAUCCCAUAAAGUUGUUCUCAGUUCGGAUUGUAGUCUGCAACUCGACUACAUGAAGCUGGAAUCGCUAGUAAUCGUAGAUCAGCAUGCUACGGUGAAUACGUUCCCGGGUCUUGUACACACCGCCCGUCACACCACGAGAGUUUGUAACACCCGAAGCCGGUGGAGUAACCAUUUAUGGAGCUAGCCGUCGAA